GACGAACGCUGGCGGCGUGCUUAAUACAUGCAAGUCGAGCGAGGUUACUGUUUUGGAUCCCUUCGGGGUGAAGAAGCUUUAACCUAGCGGCGGACGGGUGAGUAACGCGUGGGUAACCUACCCCAAAGUCCGGGAUAACAGCGGGAAACCGCUGCUAAUACCGGAUGUCUUUACCUUGGGGCAUCUUGAGGUAAAGAAAGGUAACGCUUUGGGAUGGGCCCGCGUCCCAUUAGCUAGUUGGUGAGGUAACGGCUCACCAAGGCGACGAUGGGUAGCCGGCCUGAGAGGGUGGACGGCCACACUGGGACUGAGACACGGCCCAGACUCCUACGGGAGGCAGCAGUAGGGAAUAUUGCGCAAUGGACGGAAGUCUGACGCAGCGACGCCGCGUGAGCGAUGAAGGUCUUCGGAUCGUAAAGCUCUGUCCUUGGGGAAGAAGGCGAAAGCUUGACGGUACCCAAGAAGAAAGCCCCGGCUAACUACGUGCCAGCAGCCGCGGUAAUACGUAGGGGGCGAGCGUUGUCCGGAAUUACUGGGCGUAAAGGGUGCGUAGGCGGCCCUUUAAGUCGGAUGUGAAAGCCCGCGGCUUAACCGCGGAAUGGCAUUCGAAACUGGAGGGCUUGAGUGUCGGAGAGGGUAGUGGAAUUCCCAGUGUAGCGGUGAAAUGCGUAGAUAUUGGGAGGAACACCAGUGGCGAAGGCGACUACCUGGACGAUAACUGACGCUGAGGCACGAAAGCUAGGGGAGCAAACAGG
RNAcentral lists this ribosomal RNA (755 nucleotides) under uncultured bacterium. Its description in RNAcentral is "bacterial SSU rRNA". It matches the Rfam family "Bacterial small subunit ribosomal RNA", at positions 28 to 776 of the family's 1533-position model. The record is from RNAcentral.